CCUUAGAAAUUCAUUUUAUAGGCUGGACUCCAAUCUCUGGGAUUCGAGUCUGGGGUGGGGCUUAGGAAUCUGCUUUUUAACAAGCACCCCCGAGUGAUUUUUGAUAUGAAAAAACAAUAUCCUCUAUAACUUGAUUUAACAAAUAUUUGUUUCAAAAUUUCCAGGUGACAUUUACUGGCCUUGUGAAAUUUAUAGGCAACACUUUAAUUCUCUGUUUUCAACAGUGGCACCUUUUGUCCUGUGUUCAGAACUGUUUGGGAAACCUCAGCUAUCCCUGUUCCAGGUUAGCCCCAAUUCUAAGGAAGUCUGUCUGGGGAAGCAAGACUGGCAUAAUUCUCAAUUUAAGGCUCCUAGAAAAGGUUUAACAGAGAAAGGAUCUAUGAGAAGUUGUUGCCCUUUCCUCUUUCUACCAUCCAAGUACCUAAAAAUCCAAAUGACUUCUCAGAGAUACCAUGAACUGCAUGAGCUACACAUUCCUGGACACAAAAUGGCAAGGCUGGGUUAACAGGGAGAAAAAAGCCACAAUGAAGACUAAUUAAGGACAGAGAAAUGAACCAAGAUCAAUAAUUAUUCUGAUUAGAACCACAAUAAACCCUAAUAAUUUUGAAUGUA
Molecule: long non-coding RNA, 612 nt
Organism: Myotis brandtii (Brandt's bat)
Lineage: Eukaryota; Metazoa; Chordata; Mammalia; Chiroptera; Vespertilionidae
Exons: 3
Source: RefSeq, a predicted model, not a curated record